ACCUAUUCCGAUCGGUCUGCAUAAUGAUAAGGAUACGAUAUUGAUAUUUGAAAUUCCCGUAGACAUCUUUUGCGGCGUCAAUAAGCCAAGGAUCGGGAAGAAGGGAGAGGGGGAUCGAUGAAGGGACCGCAUUGCGGAUCUUCCGAAAGAAGCGGCGGAGCAAACGGACUAGAUCGACGUGGAUAGCAACUGGCUCUGCGGGCGGGCCCGCACCGUUUGCCCACAAAUGUGCGUCGAAUUCGUAGUCUUCGUGCAGAGCCUGGGGGACCUCCUCAAGGCCUCCCUGAUGGCCACAGUGCGCCCCAUUAUGCUGUCAUCCGCAGACGCUAAGCAGCGUGAAAACAACGAGAACUCAGUGACGGCAAGACCAAAGGAAGACUGAGUUGACAAUGUCUCGACAUAUCAGCAGUUCAUAGAUGUAGCUGUGACAUUUGUAUAUUGUGGGUAAAUUACUUUCGUAUGUGG
Ornithodoros turicata is the source of this 465-nucleotide long non-coding RNA. RefSeq lists it as uncharacterized. The transcript has 3 exons. The record is from RefSeq and is a predicted model, not a curated record. Lineage: Eukaryota; Metazoa; Arthropoda; Arachnida; Ixodida; Argasidae.